UACGGGGGGGGCAAGCGUUGUUCGGAAUUACUGGGCGUAAAGGGCUCGUAGGCGGCCAACUAAGUCGGACGUGAAAUCCCCAGGCUCAACCUGGGAACUGCGUCCGAUACUGGAUGGCUUGAAUUCGGGAGAGGGAUGCAGAAUUCCAGGUGUAGCGGUGAAAUGCGUAGGUAUCUGGAGGAAUACCGGUGGCGAAGGCGGCAUCCUGGACCGACAUUGACGCUGAGGAGCGAAAGCUAGGGGAGCAAACGGG
This 253-nucleotide ribosomal RNA is filed under the name uncultured bacterium. RNAcentral describes it as "partial 16S ribosomal RNA". It matches the Rfam family "Bacterial small subunit ribosomal RNA", at positions 524 to 776 of the family's 1533-position model. The record is from RNAcentral.